RNAcentral lists this long non-coding RNA (1929 nucleotides) under Olea europaea subsp. europaea. Lineage: Eukaryota; Viridiplantae; Streptophyta; Magnoliopsida; Lamiales; Oleaceae. The record is from RNAcentral.
CCCAGAUACUUUAAAAAUUCGACACCCAAACUACACUAAUUACAGAAUUACUACAGUAAAUUAGGCACUCAUUUAUACUGUCAUUUCAACAGUGAGCGUACCACCUUCUGUAGUUACUGUAUAAAAUUAAUAUGCACACAGUUCUGCCAUUGUCUUGGAAUUAGAGCCCUUUUGAAAUAAACAUUUGAUACAAAGGCCAAUUUGACAUAAAUAUAGGCGUGCACUCUUUCCUUUCAAUGUGUCAGGUUUCCAAUUUCUAUUCAUAUAAUAAUCAUGUUAUAAAUGGUGAUGCUCCCCAUAAAUUCAUAGGCAAAAAGGUAGCCCAGAAACUUCCAAAAUUAUAUACGUACAGUGGACGGCAGAUCCACUUUUCAUUGUGAAAACCAAGAAAUCAACUUUUCUUCAACCAAUAAUAAUUCAUCAGGUUUGACAGAAUUAAUAAUGUUUUCUACGGAAGUCAUCCCAUCCGUUAAUUUACAUAAUACGUGAAACAAUAAUAAAUGCAAUUGAUGUGUAAUUUUUCUAAUGAAACAGGGAUUGCUCUUUUCACAGAUUAAUAUCGGUGCAGUAAAAAUCAAAGAUUCAUUUAUUAUUUUAACAGCAGUCAAUCAGAAAACAGAAACAUAUUUGCAGCUGAAUCUGUCAUUCUUAUUUUACGCAUUGAUCCAUAAAUCGAUACGAAAAAUUAAAGAUCUAUGAAUGUAAAACAUUAAUCUUUAACAAAAAAUCAUGAAUUCCAUAACUUGGGCUCUGAUACCACAUGUAAGCAAUUAAUUUAUACUUUAAUGCCAAAAUCUUGGAAUUCUAUGAUUUUCACGUAUGAGUAAUUUGAUCAAGUAACAUACCUUGAUCCAUGAAGAAAAUUGAAAUUUAUUAAAUCUACAAAAGAGAAAUCAGUGAGAAUAAAGAAAACUGUUCUCUCUCUUUUCCUUACUGUUCUUGAAUGUUCUUAUUGAUGAUUUUUCAUUCACGUUAAAAAGGCAGAGAGAGGCAGUUUUCUUUUAGGCCAAAACUACCAACUUUCCAUCAAAGUGGACAGUUACAAAACUGUCACUUCUCAAUGACCAAUCAGAUUUUUAAUAUAUAUAGACCAAAUAUUAAUCUAUUUAUAAUAUUACGUGGGGCCACAUUAAUUGGUCUAACAUGACUGCCCAGAAAAACUCAAGAACUACAAAGACAAUUUAUCACAAUGCCCCAAAACAAGAAACCUUGAUUUAACUGAUACAGAACACAAACAAAUCCUUAGAAAGAACAUUCAAAAGCAGUAAUAAUACCCAGGUCCAAAUCAAACAACCCAUCAAUCAAGAAACACAUAGCUUACUUUCAGGUUUCUUCCACUUUUAUGUGUCUUUCCUCUUUUAUGAUCGCCAAGAAAAUAAAUAAGUACAUUCUAACACACAUAUAACUAUUCCAAGAAUCCCAAUAAGGAAAUAACCAGAAAAAAUACAAACUUCCCUUCAAUCAGACUAAAACCAAAAAUCAUGAAUAAAUUAAAAAAUAAAACUUACAAGAUUCAGCUCAGGUCAAAACGGAUUACCCUAAGGUUGAUGCUAAAGUCUUGAUAGGGAUAGGGCUGUUUUCCUUUUUCUUGUUUGAACAGAAAUGGGCAAAAGAGCCGGCGAUAAUAAUGAAAAAAGUGAGAGAAUAUGCGCAAGAAGAAUAAUGACAAUAAUGAAAGUAGAUGGUUGUGGAGUUAUUGUUGUUUCGGUUAAGAAAAACGAUUCUAAUCGGUUCUGUUCUGAUAUGAAGAAUUGAAAAAUAAUCCUCGUCUGCUUCAUUUCUUGAUAAAUGAUACACUCUUUUCUUCUCUGUCUGGCUGGCUGUCAGUUUUCUUUUCGUUUUCGGCACCAGUAAUGUUUGUUUGUUCCCUUGAAUUGGGCUUCCGUUUCUGUUCACCGCACUGCUCUCUAGCUCCCAAUUUAAUGCUCC